This is a long non-coding RNA of Puntigrus tetrazona (Sumatra barb), 8493 nucleotides long. RefSeq lists it as uncharacterized. NCBI's taxonomy places the organism in Eukaryota, Metazoa, Chordata, Actinopteri, Cypriniformes, Cyprinidae. The transcript has 2 exons. The record is from RefSeq and is a predicted model, not a curated record.
UCGAUCUCUUGAGGGCACUAAAGAGAGUCAGGUACCGUGUUUACCAUUCUUCCACAAAGGGGCCUGCCCUCCAAACUUCUGAGCCAUAAGCACAAGGACUACUGAUGUCUCCUACUGAAAUGAUGGUCCUCAGACCUGUAUCUUCUCCUAGGAAGUAAAACCAGAGCCUGUUAGUGGGACCCAACAAGACAUGCUUGGCAGGGGCUCCCACACCGCCAGUUGACCCACUAAGAGAACCAGUCUCUUGAGACCGGCCUCUGGUCUUCCCAGAGUUGCACUGGCAGGAGACCCUCAGGGGUGGCGAGCCUCUCUGCUCUGCUACAUUCCCAGGCAGAAGAAACUGAGAGAUGUGCUGUCUGGAGACCACUGCGCACUGGAACUCUGGCAGGGUUGGCAGACCGAUCUCUGAGGGCACUGAGGAGAGACAGGCACCGUGCACUGCUUUGUAUACUGCUCCUCCCCAGAGAAGUCGGCCCUCAAUAGUCCUAGUCCUAGGAGCUCGAAGACAAUCAGGGCUGCUCUGUCCAGCAGCCCCUGCCUCCACCUCAACCUCCUCUGAAGAAUAGAGAGCACAGUGUUCCUUACUCAAGCUCCAUACCACGCUGCACAUAAUGACAACCUGCUUGUGCACAAAAUCAAAAAAGCAAGCAGAAAAAAGCAAAAAGCAAGAGGAUAGGAAAUCGCCAUCCUCAUUCCCUCCACAAAAUCCUACUGCGAUUUCCAGAGCACAGCUGCCGGAUCUACCUCCGUGAAAGUGGGGCUGGCAUCAUGAGGAACACCAGUAUAGGCUCUCUCCUCAAAGAGAAACCUAGCGAGAGUAAAGCAUAUGCAGAAACAGACGCUCGUCAUGCAAGCAAUCAGCUCCCUCAAGAGGUAACUGUGCGUGUUUUGCUCUUGAGCAGACAAAUCUAUCAGACUGUGUGUGUCACCACCCGUAAAGUAGUUUGGGAGAGGAAUAACACAGUCGGAAAUGUUGCCUGCUCUCAUCCUUGUCUUCACUUGCAAAUGGUAAAGGAAGACAACUUACCAAAAGACUGACACACAGAGCGCAUUGCUGAAUGACAAAAAAGCUGAAGCCGGCAGCACUCCACGUGUUUAUAUGCUUCCUGGCCAGUGGCCAUCAUCUGCCCACAAUGUCUUUCCCAUCCUUCCCAUCCAUGGUGAAUGUUAAGCACCAAUUUAUUUUCAACCCCAAAUCAUGCAGUGCAUAGCUUUUUUCUUUUACUUUUUUUUACUUUUUUACCCACGUACAUAUUCUACCUGGUCUCAUGGCAUAAACAUACCUUAGUGCUCUUUUUAUAGACACUAAAUAUGUAACAAUAUGUUACAGUACAUAUGACUGCAGUUUCCGAAAGAAAUGAACACUAGAGGCAGUACAACUCUGACAACAUUCAUUUCUUUUCACGUAAAUUUACCCAGUUUCCAUUAAUUUUCUAUUUGUCACACAAUUAUUGGAAAAAUAUCAUUGUAUUAUAUUAAUAUGCUGGGAUAUUUGAAAACAUGCUUUUGAAAAUUAGCAUCACACAUAUCCAGCUUAAUAUCUGUGUGUUUUCUUAGACAGUAGGUUUGUUCAGUAGGUCAUUUAAGUACAGAGAUCUUCUUGAGAGGCGAGGAGCUCUGGUUUAAUCCUGUAAAACUAUGGUUCAACAAAACAGUUCAAAUCUGUAUAAAAGGAAGAGGAAAUGGCAUGUUUGCAUCAGCAAAUGCAUCAGUUUUGCAUUUUUUACAUUAUCAGGUUGGUUUAAGGUUGGAUGAGCAUACAUUUUUAGCAACAGCACCCAGAGAUAUUUGAAUUCUGAACCAUCAACUUAAUAAAACUGUGUCAGGGUUCACAUAUUGAACUUCUGUUUUAGCUCCACUGAGUGUAUAUUUCUCUUUGAAACUGUGAUGAAACAUGCAGUAAGGUACAUAAACACAGCGUUGCACAAAAAGUGUACAGAGGUACAUAUUUUUAUGAGACCAGAUCGUACAUAUUCCAGGAUGCCAAUGCCAAGAUUCAAAGUUGCUUGCGAUUGGCCCCCACACAAUCCUGACCUUAAUCCCAUUUGAAGUGUUUGGAAUGUGCUGGAGUCAACUUACUUUACUGGAUGGCUUUGAUAACAUUGUACUUUCAUUAUGGCAUUGUUUUGACAGCAUUAUAAAAUGUCCCAACAUUUAAUUAGUUGCAUAAUUGUUUUGGCUGAGAUCUUUAAAUGACAAUGGAAGAAUCUCAUACUCUGUUAAGUCAACUAAGCACAUCCUAAAGGUUUUCAAUGAGAUGUAUCUCAGGAGUCUGUGGUAGAUAACUCAUGUGUGAAAGUGUUUCAAAAAAUUGGGCUUGAUGAAUCUUUGCCAUUGUCCUCCUGGAAUAUAGAUAUGGGUAUAUCUUCCAACAUGGCUGUUUCAGAAAUAAAAAGCUACACACUGCAAAGGGUAACAAAAUUGUUGGCCAAACAUACAACAUUUCAUAAACAUUAAUCACUGCGAUAAUUUUUUAAAUACUAAAAUGCAUUUACUUAUUAAAAACCAAAUAAACUGCAAUAUCUGGGUAACACUUAAUAAAGGGUUUCCUUUAUAAAGGGUUUAUAAAGGUGUUCAUAAAUGACUAAUAACUCCUUUACAAAUGCAUUUCAUUGAUAAGUUGUUAUGAAUGCAAUACCUGCCAAAUAGUGAGCCAUUUUAACUCACAUUUUAUAAAUGCUUAACAUAAAUAUUUAUUAACACUUAUUUCACUCAAAACCAGAUCUCUUAUUUAUUUCACAAAUGCAGCAAAAUGUACUAGUAUAGCAAGACUGAAGGGCGUCUUAUUUAUGAUUUCCUCAUUUAUAUCUCACUUCACCUGCAAUACUCUCACAUACUCUGUACCAUACCCAUGAUUCUCAGUAUAUUAAUGAAUUAAACAUUUUAAUAACCUGUGAAAUUGAACCUUAAAAGUGUAUACCUGUGAACAAUUUAUUAAUGAGCUAUAAACAUUAUUAACCUGUGAAAGCUAAAUUGAAUGUAAUGUAAAUGCAUGUGAGCUUUUUAUUAAUAAGUAGCCUAUUAAACAUUAGCAACCAGUCAAAGUGAAUUUUAAUAUGGACACACUAAUAACUGAUUUAUUGAUUAUUAUCACACACACAGGAAAAGUAUUUUCUGCUUUGACUUUCUUUCUAUAAGCCAGUUUAUUUGUGCAGUUUAGACUCAGUAAGGUUGUUUAAGCAGUUUUGUUUAUAUAGUGCAUCAAUAAUAAAAAACUGUGAAAAAAAUCUUCUGCGUGUGAGUUAAUAAUUAGUAAAUAUAGCUCUUUCAUAUAUGGUUCACGGGUGAUCGAUUUACAUUAAACAACUUUCACAAGUUGUUAAUAUUUAUAAACCAUUAACAAAUAGUUAAUUACAUUACAUUUAUCAGCCAAUAUUGUAUUAGAACUGUCAUUUUUAUAUUAAAAUCAAGUCAUUUUUGUGCUUUUAUGAUUUUUACCUAAAAUGAAAAUCAUGAAGAUAAUAUCAUCUUGAUUAACAAAUAAAUUAAAUUAAAUUAAAUAAUAAUAAAAAUAAUAAUACAUUUCUAAUCAUUGUUGUGGAUAGGCAUCAUGAACCUCUGCAGAAAAUCAUGGGUAAGGUACAGAGUAUAAAUAUUUUUGUUAAGCAUUUAUUACAAUUGUUACAGUUAAAAUUUCUCACUAUUUGGCGGGGAAUCAAUUAAAAUCACACUUUUACAUGCAUUUAUAACAGCUUAUCAAUGAUUUGUAAUGCAUUUGUAAGUGAUUUAUUAGUCAUUUAUGACCACAUUUCCACAACCCUUUAUAAAGGAACACUUAAUGUGAACAAAAAAUAAAUAAAUAAAUAAAAAAUGCUAUUAUUAUAUGAUGUGAAUGUCAAUGUGACCUAUUAAGUGUCACGGCUGAGGAUGAAAUAAUGACAUUUCUUUAAUAAUCUCACAGGUAUUGACGUAUCAAGACAUCUGUUAGAUAGUUUCAAUGCUGUGAAGCUUUCCAAGUCUUAAUGCUUGCCUGACGUGCUUACUUGUCAAAACCCUCUCAAAUCUCAAAAGGAAAGAUUAAAUAUUUAGACUAGCAGAAGUUUAGAGGAUGAACGUUUGAGUCUUUAAGAAGAACAAAAGAUAAAUACAUAAAACCAUUGCGUUUCGCAUUUUUGUGUGACAUCUUUAAAAAUGACCUUUUACUUCAGAUUAAGCACAGCUGGAAUAGUAUGUAGGUCUUUUCAAAUCUUUUGUACAAGAAGCAUUGAAGAUGAUCUCUUUCUUUCUCUUUCUCUCACACACACACACACACACACACACUAACGCUCCACUUCGCCUCACGGAUGAAAUGUGAGAGGGUCCAGGAGGAGGACUGUGCACUCGUUGACACUCUAUCACUGUUCUCCUCUAUUUCAUCUAAAUUAAGACUAGCACGGUGGAAAAACGUCUUCUUAUAAAUAUAGUACGCCUUCACCUGGCAACAUUUAAAGAGCACUGGUCAUAAGACCUGGUCUGUUAACUAGUCCUGUCAGGAGUUUCUCUAGGCUGUUAUGUCUUUAUGUAUUAUAUAAUCUAAUAUCAUACCAAGUAUAACCUGAAAAAAGCAGAAUUUCAUGUGCAGCAAAGCCAAUAUCUGUAUUUGUAUUGGGGUCAAAUCGUACGUGGACGGGAUCUUCACUGUCCUGAAUCUCUUGGUGAGCUGAAGAACAUGCAGAAAGACGUGCAAACAACACACAGAGGCUCAUCAUUCUGCCCUAAUUAGUUCCAGUCAUCUAAUUUAAUUGGAUGAGCAGUAGCCAUUUUAGUUUAACAGGACUGGGACGUUUGUAUCACUUGCUGAAUUCCAGGCCAGAGCAAUUUGACAUAAAGCUGGGAGCAUGUUCUUUAAAAGUUCAGCUUAGAGAGCUGAGAAAAGCAAGCAUACACUGAAAAAAGCGAAUAAGUCAUUUAUUUAAAGUGCAUUAUGUUGGUCUAAUUAAAACCAUGGUUUCCAUUUUGAUUUUGACUUCAGAAAAAAAAAUGGAACCAGAAAAUACAUAUAGUUAAAUAAAGAAAACUAAUCAAUUUAGCAGUAUCAAAUUUGAUUUUAUGUUUGUAUUUAAUGUUUUCAAGUAUUUUUAACAUUAUUCCUCCCAGUAAGCUAACAGUGUUGCCAAUCUUGAGAGGCAAUACAUUUCUCCAGUUCUGCAGCAGAUAAUAGCACCAUUAAUUAUCCCAAAUGUCACCACAAAAUGCAUAAUAAAAUGACAUUGUAAAAGACAGUUUGGUUAUCUCGUAACUUUGUACAGCUGUUUGUUUUUUCAUUUUUCUUUUUUUUUUAUUGGCUUUCUUUCUUUGAAAUCUGUCUGGCAUGUCUUCAGUUCUCCCAGAAGAGUAAUAGUGACCCAGUUUCACAAUCAGAUUUCUAUGCAAUCAGGCAGUUUUUUUUUAUAUGAGGCCCAUUACAAUAAAUCUAGAGGUGAAAAUCAAGUGAAAAUAUCACAUAUUAUACAUCUGCUUAAAUAUUAGCAGAUGGCGAAAAAAUAAAAGCCUCUGCUUGUUUUGAGGUAGCAGCUGAUUUGAUAUUUUGCAUUUAAUACAAACUGUGAUGUAAGUAGCAGUCAAGUGUGUUACAUUCUAGGCCGACAGUCACUAUUUUUUCUUCUAAGUUCUGAUGAUUCAUGCUGUAAUUUUUAGCUUUGGUGUCACAUCAUUAUUCUUCUAUUGCUUACAGCAGCAUUCAUCCGAGAACUCAAAGUCAAUAAAACUAUUCUUACGCUAGCAGCACAAACCAAUCUUCACAAAUGUGUGGGAUGUUUUAGACUCUUAUCUUACAGUUUGGCUCUUCUACAGCAAAUCUUCAUAAUGUCUCACUGGGACACUUAAUCACCCGACUGGCAACUCGACUGUCUAGACAUACAGACAGUGAAAAUGAGUUAGUCUGUUAGUUUCUUCAAUGAACAUCUCUUAACAGAAUUAAGAGAGUGGUAGCCCAAGAGAGAGGGAUGCAAAAAAGUAUCUUCUUGUUUUAUGCCAGUGACAGAUUAUUAUAUUUGCAUUGAUCCGAUGAGGAAAUAUGUUUCCUAAUUGUGUUUUCAACUAAAGUAGUUCUUGUCAAGGAGAAACAUCCUUUAGCUUUUUCUGGAGUUGCAGUAUAAGGUGUUGAAAUUCAUUAUGAUUCAUUUAUUAACUAACCAUGACCCAAUAACCUGUCCACGACCACAGGAAGUAGAACUAUGAUGCAAUGUUGAAGCAAACAGCUGGCGGUUGGGGUAACCCUCGGUCACAUGGCUUCUUGUCUAAUCUUACAAACUGUAGAAACACCUGGAGUCAGCGAAGCUUCAGAUGGACAGGCAUAUCACCUCUCUUGGCUCAAGGCCCUGCAACUUUUAGCUCUCAAGGGGUGAAAUAUUCAUUUAGCAGAUGUUUUCUACAAAUUAAAAAAAAGCAACAAAGGAGUAGGCAGUAACAUUAGAAUGCUGCAAUAGGGUAAUUAAAAUGAAAAAACAACAGUAAAUGACUAGCUUACAAUAUUGUUCCAUAGUCUCAAAAUAUAGCUUUAAAAGAAUAAAACAAAUGAUUAAUAAGUAAUAGAAUAAUUGCAUAUAAUUAAUUGUAAUAACUUAUCCUUUGUAUCAAUUAUUAAUCAAGUAAUACAGUAUAAUAGUAUUAUUAAUAUUAUUAUGUUUGUUUGUUUUUUUACUUUCAACAUUUUAGCCUUUAUGUAGCUCAAGCAAUGCCAGAUUCAUGUGAUCGACCAUGACCAUGAGAAAUGCCUCCCUUUGAAUAAAAAAACAAAAAAACUGUAAAGUAUCUAUAUAUAAAAUGAAUAUAAAAUAAAUGUCUAAUUGUUACUGAUCUGCCUGGCUCUUUCACCAGCCAAUCACCAUCCAGCGCCCCCGGCAGCCAACCACGAGGCUGAGGAGUGCAAUGGGUUCUUGCUACAAUACUCACUUGUGUUCACCAUGCAACCUCAAUUGUAUCCUUCUGAUCAAGCUAAGAUUGCUUAUAUCAUCUUAUAUUAUCUAUUAUCAGGUGCUGCGUGGCAAUGUACAGAAAAGCUAUGGACCCAGGUUGGUCCCGCUAUGAAAUCCAUCCAUCCAGAGAACAGCUCUAUCACCUAACGAAAGGCACCAUGUCAAUUCAUAAACAUUCAGUUAAAUUUCGUACUUUAGCAGCUCUCUGGUAAGUGCUAUGUGUAAUGCUUACUGCCUCUGACUUCUCUGUUCCCUCUGUUCUCCGACCUCCACCACUUUGACAAGCUAUCAAAUUCACUCAAUAACUGAGAAACCUCUGUGCCCAAAGACAUGUCAAAUACCGUGCUGGACCCCUCCAGUUACAAGUUGUAUUGCUUCAUGUGGAAGAGAUUGAAUUAUUGGUUCUAGAGGGCUCAAUUACAGAUAUCAUUCUAGGCUGCCUGUGGUUGGUCAAGCACAAACCCAUCCUCUCUUGGGGAACAGGUGAAGUUCUUCAGUGGGUGAUGCCUUCUGCCUCAAGAGAGCAGCUCCCUUACCACCACAUUUGCCAUGGGACUGUGCCAUAUGGACAAGGGGAAGGUGAAAGCCAUCACAGCCUGGCCAGUACCCACAUCAGUGAAGGAACUUCAAAGUUUUCUCGGAUUUGCCAACUACUACCGGUGUUUCAUACAGCACUAAUGCCAGCCCACUCACCAGCCCAAAUCUCCUAAAAAAUAAGCCCAGGUCUCUGUCCUGGUCCCCGGAAGCCACUGAAGCCUUUGCAACCCUCAAGUCAGCCUUCACCAGCGCUCCCCUUCUUGUCCAUUCAGACCCUGGAUUACCUGUCAUAGUCGAAGUUGAUGCUUCAACCACCAGAGUAGGAGCCCCCAGAUCGCCAGUGCGUUCCAUGGACACAGAGCACCCCACUAAUUCACUCUGUUCACUGGCCACCCAGAGACCAACGCCAACCUCUUUCGCAUCUAGUGGCAUGUGAUAGCCAGGGAUGCCAUGGCCACCAGAACUCCUGGAACCAGUUCCUGGACUGGGCCGAGUUCCCCCAGAACUCCCUCCGACAGCCAUCUACCGGACUCACUCCCUUCCAGUGCAUGCUCAGCUUCCAGUCCCAGCUAUUGCCCUGCCGGCUGUCGUCCACUGGUUCAGGGGGAAGAGCAAUAGGGUCUGGGACAAUGCUCAUCACCAGAAGACUCAAGCAAACAGCCCUGGAGGUGAUACUCCAGUCUAUCAACCAGGUCAGAAAGUCUAGAUUUCCACUGCCGUGAGCUCAGUCCCAGAUAUGUUGGUCCAUUCACUAUCUUGGAACAGGUCACUCCAGUAUCAUAGAAACUACAUCUACCACCAUUGUAGGUGGUAAGCCAAAGUAUUUAGUGGAUUGGGAGGGGUUCCUCGUGAUGACAUCUUCGAUCCUGCACUACUGGUGGAAUUCCCCAGCACUGACCCUGAUCGACCGGCACCUCGGGCACCGGCAUCAAGUUCCUGUCAAGACAGACAAUCAAGUCAUAUCUCAGUCAUCAUCAAUCAAUGCUUCCAAAGGAUUCAUUACUCACCUGUCAUCGAUCUCCAUACCUUAUCUGUAUAAAUAAACAUCAUUAUAAUUUUA